This 810-nucleotide ribosomal RNA is filed under the name Triticum aestivum (bread wheat). RNAcentral's name for it is "partial small subunit ribosomal RNA". The record is from RNAcentral. Lineage: Eukaryota; Viridiplantae; Streptophyta; Magnoliopsida; Poales; Poaceae.
AUGCUCUUGCCCGGAAGGAAUUUUGCAAAUGAAUCAGUGUGUGCCAUGAAGAACAAGCAACGAUACCGUGAAAGUGACAUGCCAGUGAAACUGACAUUCCAAUCCUUAAAGGAGGUCACAAACAACUUUGCCGACAAACUUGGCAGUGGUGCAUCUGCGGAAGUUUACAGGGGAGAGUUCAAUGGAGAAGUGAUUGCCGUAAAGAAACUGCCAUUCAGGAUUGGGACUGAUGAGAAGCAAUUCCAAAACGAAUACGAACACCUUAAGAGGCUCAAGCAUCCUAAUAUCGUGCGGCUAGUGGGCUUCUGUGAUGAAACAGAGCAUGCAUUUGUAGAGUACAAAGGGAAAACAAUAAUUGCCGAAGAAAUACAUAGGGCACUCUGCCUCGAAUGCCUGCCCAAGGGACCCCUUAGUGACUAUCUUCAUGAAAAAUAUACUGGACAUAGUUGGCACACACGGUUCCAGAUAAUCAACGGGAUGUGUGAGGGUUUGAAAUAUAUUCAUGAAGUUUCCGUUGUGCAUUUGGAUAUAAAGCCUGGUAAUAUAUUGCUAGAUGCGGAAAUGAUACCGAAAAUUGCGGAUUUUGGAAUAUCAAGGCUACUGGUCGAGGAAUGCAUCAGAGAGGCCACUCAGUUAGGGACAAUUGGAUACAUACCAAGGGAGUUCAUAGACAAUCAAGUUAUCUCAAGAGAGUUUGACAUCUUUAGCUUAGGGGUUACGAUUAUGAAGAUAUUGACAGAACCAAUGGACUACUGGAACAUUUCUUACAUGAAUGACAAGGAAUGUAUUGAGCAUGUACACGACAAUUGA